UAUAGUAGCAAUACUAGAGACCGGCGCACGGGUGCGUAACGCGUAUGCAAUCUACCUUUUACAGAGGGAUAGCCCAGAGAAAUUUGGAUUAAUACCUCAUAGUAUAUAUCAUUCGCAUGUUUGACAUAUUAAAGUUCCAACGGUAAAAGAUGAGCAUGCGUCCCAUUAGCUAGUUGGUGUGGUAACGGCACACCAAGGCAACGAUGGGUAGGGGUCCUGAGAGGGAGAUCCCCCACACUGGUACUGAGACACGGACCAGACUCCUACGGGAGGCAGCAGUGAGGAAUAUUGGACAAUGGGCGCAAGCCUGAUCCAGCCAUGCCGCGUGCAGGAAGACGCAUCUAUGGUGUGUAAACUGCUUUUGUACGGGAAGAAACACUCCUACGUGUAGGAGCUUGACGGUACCGUAAGAAUAAGGAUCGGCUAACUCCGUGCCAGCAGCCGCGGUAAUACGGAGGAUCCAAGCGUUAUCCGGAAUCAUUGGGUUUAAAGGGUCCGUAGGCGGUUUAAU
Molecule: ribosomal RNA, 511 nt
Filed under: uncultured Flavobacteriaceae bacterium
Lineage: Bacteria; Pseudomonadati; Bacteroidota; Flavobacteriia; Flavobacteriales; Flavobacteriaceae
Description: bacterial SSU rRNA
Rfam family: Bacterial small subunit ribosomal RNA
Source: RNAcentral